Molecule: non-coding RNA, 94 nt
Organism: Marasmius fiardii PR-910
Lineage: Eukaryota; Fungi; Basidiomycota; Agaricomycetes; Agaricales; Marasmiaceae
Source: the annotation of a GenBank genome assembly
GGGCACAUGGUGUAGUUGGUUAUCACAUCCGCUUAGCAUAGUGCCAGCCUAUUGAAAAUGUGGGGGGUGCUGGGUUCAAUUCCCAGUGUGUCCA